CGUCCAAGUGACUCUCGAGGAUGCUUCUGACGUCAGACAGUCUUUUUACAAUAUUUUUAGAUACGAUUCGAUCGCAACUACGGUUUAUUUUUUUUAUUUGUCAUUUAAUUUCGUUUUUUAUUGGAUAAAUUUCGGCAGUAAAAAACAAUUUAUAUAAAGUUUAUUUAGUUAUAAAAAAAAAUACAAUCUAUUGAAUAUAAUUUUUUAUUUUAAAAUUCUCGUAUUUAAAAAACAUUGUGUAUGUUGAACUACGGUUGAGAAGAUUCAUUGAAUUUCGGAUAGUUAUAUAUAUAUUUACUGAGACAGUAUCGGUUGUUUAUAGAAAUGUAUGGAGAAAACAAAGACUGAAUUGGACUAGCACGAUUGUGUAUGACCAUGGAUAAAUCCGCAGUGAAGCGAAAUCAAAGCAACGAGGAUAUAAAGCCUCUUCACGACCUUCAGAUAUACUUUAUUCAACGAGAAAACAGUACGGCCUUUAUUUAUGAUCUGGAUCAUCGACAUUUGCCCUCUAAAAAUUCAAAUAAGUAAAUAAAAAUAAACAAUUAAUCUUUCACUGUAAAUAAAAGAUAAAGAAGAAACGGAAACGCCCUUGUUGUUUUUGACUGAUUAUUGAAGAAGACACAGAAAAGAGAAUCGAUUACUUAGAGAUAAAAAAAAAAAAAAAAUUCGUUUUAUAAUAAAAAAUAAUAUAAAUUUUUCAUCAAUAUUGGUAAGACUUAGUGAUGAAAUUGUAAAGAUUAAGUUAAUGGAAAAUAUAUUUUUAGAAUGACUGCGUAGUAGUGACAUAGUUUAUACAUCAAAUUUUGAAUGAAAAAUUUUCGAGACGUUCCACUUGUAAUCGAAUUUUCACAACUCGAUUUAUAAAAUGACUAAAAAAUUACUUUUUUUUCCCUUAAAGAUAAAAACAAAUAAUUUA
Microplitis mediator is the source of this 916-nucleotide long non-coding RNA. RefSeq lists it as uncharacterized. NCBI's taxonomy places the organism in Eukaryota, Metazoa, Arthropoda, Insecta, Hymenoptera, Braconidae. The record is from RefSeq and is a predicted model, not a curated record. The transcript has 3 exons.